RNAcentral lists this ribosomal RNA (380 nucleotides) under uncultured eukaryote. RNAcentral describes it as "partial 18S ribosomal RNA". It matches the Rfam family "Eukaryotic small subunit ribosomal RNA", at positions 592 to 976 of the family's 1831-position model. The record is from RNAcentral.
CAAUAGCGUAUAUUAAAGUUGUUGCAGUUAGAACGCUCGUAGUCGGAUUUCGGGGCGGGCCGACCGGUCUGCCGAUGGGUACGCACUGGUCGGCGCGUCCUUCCUUCCGGAGACCGUGCCUACUCUUAACUGAGCGGGUGCGGGAGACGGAUCGUUUACUUUGAAAAAAUCAGAGUGUUUCAAGCAGGCAGCUCGCUCUUGCAUGGAUUAGCAUGGGAUAAUGAAAUAGGACUUUGGUGCUAUUUUGUUGGUUUCGAACACCGAAGUAAUGAUUAACAGGGACAGUCAGGGGCACUCGUAUUCCGCCGAGAGAGGUGAAAUUCUCAGACCAGCGGAAGACGAACUACUGCGAAAGCAUUUGCCAGGGAUGUUUNCACUGA